GACGAACGCUGGCGGCGUGCUUAACACAUGCAAGUCGAACGGAAAGGCCCUGCUUUUGUGGGGUGCUCGAGUGGCGAACGGGUGAGUAACACGUGAGUAACCUGCCCUUGACUUUGGGAUAACUUCAGGAAACUGGGGCUAAUACCGGAUAGGAGCUCCUGCUGCAUGGUGGGGGUUGGAAAGCUUCGGCGGUUGGGGAUGGACUCGCGGCUUAUCAGCUUGUUGGUGGGGUAGUGGCUUACCAAGGCUUUGACGGGUAGCCGGCCUGAGAGGGUGACCGGCCACAUUGGGACUGAGAUACGGCCCAGACUCCUACGGGAGGCAGCAGUGGGGAAUAUUGCACAAUGGGCGGAAGCCUGAUGCAGCAACGCCGCGUGCGGGAUGACGGCCUUCGGGUUGUAAACCGCUUUCGCCUGUGACGAAGCGUGAGUGACGGUAAUGGGUAAAGAAGCACCGGCUAACUACGUGCCAGCAGCCGCGGUGAUACGUAGGGUGCGAGCGUUGUCCGGAUUUAUUGGGCGUAAAGGGCUCGUAGGUGGUUGAUCGCGUCGGAAGUGUAAUCUUGGGGCUUAACCCUGAGCGUGCUUUCGAUACGGGUUGACUUGAGGAAGGUAGGGGAGAAUGGAAUUCCUGGUGGAGCGGUGGAAUGCGCAGAUAUCAGGAGGAACACCAGUGGCGAAGGCGGUUCUCUGGGCCUUUCCUGACGCUGAGGAGCGAAAGCGUGGGGAGCGAACAGGCUUAGAUACCCUGGUAGUCCACGCUGUAAACGGUGGGUACUAGGUGUGGGGUCCAUUCCACGGGUUCCGUGCCGUAGCUAACGCUUUAAGUACCCCGCCUGGGGAGUACGGCCGCAAGGCUAAAACUCAAAGGAAUUGACGGGGCCCCGCACAAGCGGCGGAGCAUGCGGAUUAAUUCGAUGCAACGCGUAGAACCUUACCUGGGUUUGACAUGGAUCGGGAGUGCUCAGAGAUGGGUGUGCCUCUUUUGGGGUCGGUUCACAGGUGGUGCAUGGCUGUCGUCAGCUCGUGUCGUGAGAUGUUGGGUUAAGUCCCGCAACGAGCGCAACCCUUGUUCACUGUUGCCAGCACGUUAUGGUGGGGACUCAGUGGAGACCGCCGGGGUCAACUCGGAGGAAGGUGGGGAUGACGUCAAGUCAUCAUGCCCCUUAUGUCCAGGGCUUCACGCAUGCUACAAUGGCUGGUACAGAGAGUGGCGAGCCUGUGAGGGUGAGCGAAUCUCGGAAAGCCGGUCUCAGUUCGGAUUGGGGUCUGCAACUCGACCUCAUGAAGUCGGAGUCGCUAGUAAUCGCAGAUCAGCAACGCUGCGGUGAAUACGUUCCCGGGGGCU
RNAcentral lists this ribosomal RNA (1347 nucleotides) under uncultured bacterium. Its description in RNAcentral is "partial 16S ribosomal RNA". It matches the Rfam family "Bacterial small subunit ribosomal RNA", at positions 28 to 1382 of the family's 1533-position model. The record is from RNAcentral.